GGGAGAUGUUGAGGUAGGUAAUCUGCCGUGUGACUAAUACCGCAUAGUAGAGUAGAGGAAAGUUUUUUCGCUUCACGAUGAGCCUGCGGCCUAUUAGCCUGUUGGUGGGUAAUGGCCUACCAAAGCUACGAUAGGUAGCCGACCUGAGAGGGUGACCGGCCACAUUGGGACUGAGAUACGGCCCAGACUCCUACGGGAGGCAGCAGCUGAGAAUCUUCCACAAUGGACGAAAGUCUGAUGGAGCGACAUCGCGUGAGGGAUGAAGGCCUUCGGGUUGUAAACCUCGGAAAUUAUCGAAGAAUGAGUGACAGUAGAUAAUGUAAGCCUCGGCUAACUACGUGCCAGCAGCCGCGGUAAUACGUAGGAGGCAAACGUUGCUCGGAUAU
Molecule: ribosomal RNA, 386 nt
Filed under: Brachyspira pilosicoli
Lineage: Bacteria; Pseudomonadati; Spirochaetota; Spirochaetia; Brachyspirales; Brachyspiraceae
Description: bacterial SSU rRNA
Rfam family: Bacterial small subunit ribosomal RNA
Source: RNAcentral